Molecule: unclassified non-coding RNA, 818 nt
Filed under: Hevea brasiliensis (rubber tree)
Lineage: Eukaryota; Viridiplantae; Streptophyta; Magnoliopsida; Malpighiales; Euphorbiaceae
Source: RNAcentral
GAAAUAGUAAGAACUUAAAAAUGCUUUCUCUCGUAAUAAUAAUGGCCAUUCAAUGUUAUCUAAAAAUGAAAGUCAUGCUAGAAUCAUUGCAUCCUAGAACAACAGUAGCACACGAACUAAAACUUGAUUUCCUUAACCAGGCAUUGAGGAUAGUUCACAGUUGAAGCUUUGGGUAUAUAUCCCAACAGUGAAUAGGAAAGGAUGAUCAUAUUACAAUUGGAUCAUCUGAAUGCCGAGACUGGUUCUCCAGACACAAAAUAAACCAACAUAGAGUAACAGCAGUCUCAUUGUUUUUUCAUGACUACACAGUUUCAUCUUUGGACAGAAGGAACUAGUUCUUGCCAUCGCCAAACAGGUAACCAAGGGAAGAUCCACCACCUGGUGCUGCAUGCACUUUGGUAGAUGGGCGAUCCGUGAGGAAAUUCCCAGUGUUCUGUCCAUCUGCACGGAAAUAGUUAUUGGAAUUGCGCCCCUGGAUGCCAGCUGGAAUCUGCUUAUUAACAUUUGGAGCUGGUGCAGUUGCAGUAGGCUUCUGUGGAUCGCUUGUAGUAGGUCCUUGAUUCUGUGGAGCUUCUACCUUGUUGUUAGUAGGCUUUGGAGGCUCACCAUCUCCAAAGAGGUAACCUAGGGAACUCUGUCCUCCACCACUGCUGACUCCACGACCCAUGAUCUCUCAAACUUUUAAUUGAUUGAUUCUGAGGAGUUCGGAUCAGAUCUGUUGAGAGAAAUUGAUCGAAGAGCAGUAGGGCUUUAUAGGUACAACUAACGGCACGCACAGCAACGGAAGGGAUAUGAAAAUAUCUGAAACACUAUUCGGU